CAACAGGGAUUGCCUCAGUAACGGCGAGUGAAGCGGCAACAGCUCAAAUUUGAAAUCUGGCUCUUUCAGGGUCCGAGUUGUAAUUUGCAGAAGAUGCUUUGGGUGAGGCACCGGUCCAAGUUCCUUGGAACAGGACGUCAUAGAGGGUGAGAAUCCCGUACGUGAUUGGUACCUUUGCUCGUGUAAAGCUCUUUCGACGAGUCGAGUUGUUUGGGAAUGCAGCUCAAAAUGGGUGGUAAAUUUCAUCUAAAGCUAAAUAUUGGCCAGAGACCGAUAGCGCACAAGUAGAGUGAUCGAAAGAUGAAAAGCACUUUGGAAAGAGAGUUAAACAGUACGUGAAAUUGUUGAAAGGGAAGCGCUUGCAACCAGACUUGGGCGUCGUUGAUCAUCCGGGGCUCGCCCCGGUGCACUCGGCGGCGCGCAGGCCAGCAUCGGUUUCGGUGGGCGGAUAAAGGCCUUGGGAAUGUGGCUCUUCGGAGUGUUAUAGCCCUCGGUGCAAUGCGCCCUAUCGAGACCGAGGACCGCGCUUCGGCUAGGAUGCUGGCGUAAUGGUUGUAAGCGACCCGUCUUGAAACACGGACCAAGGAGUCUAACAUCUAUGCGAGUGUUUGGGUGUCAAACCCAUACGCGAAAUGAAAGUGAACGGAGGUGAGAACCCUUUAGGGUGCAUCAUCGACCGAUCCUGAUGUCUUCGGAUGGAUUUGAGUAAGAGCAUAGCUGUUGGGACCCGAAAGAUGGUGAACUAUGCCUGAAUAGGGUGAAGCCAGAGGAAACUCUGGUGGAGGCUCGCAGCGGUUCUGACGUGCAAAUCGAUCGUCAAAUUUGGGUAUAGGGGCGAAAGACUAAUCGAACCAUCUA
This 858-nucleotide ribosomal RNA is filed under the name Dothideomycetes sp. JG-2021a. RNAcentral's name for it is "partial large subunit ribosomal RNA". It matches the Rfam family "Eukaryotic large subunit ribosomal RNA", at positions 66 to 946 of the family's 3401-position model. The record is from RNAcentral. Lineage: Eukaryota; Fungi; Ascomycota; Dothideomycetes.